GAUUGUUUUGAAGUUGGUAGUUGAUG
RNAcentral lists this non-coding RNA (26 nucleotides) under Cricetulus griseus (Chinese hamster). Lineage: Eukaryota; Metazoa; Chordata; Mammalia; Rodentia; Cricetidae. The record is from RNAcentral.